GAGAAAGUUGAUCCCUGGCUCAGGACGAACGCUGGCGGCGUGCCUAAUACAUGCAAGUCGAGCGGACAGAUGGGAGCUUGCUCCCUGAUGUCAGCGGCGGACGGGUGAGUAACACGUGGGUAACCUGCCUGUAAGACUGGGAUAACUCCGGGAAACCGGGGCUAAUACCGGAUGCUUGAUUGAACCGCAUGGUUCAAUUAUAAAAGGUGGCUUUUAGCUACCACUUACAGAUGGACCCGCGGCGCAUUAGCUAGUUGGUGAGGUAACGGCUCACCAAGGCGACGAUGCGUAGCCGACCUGAGAGGGUGAUCGGCCACACUGGGACUGAGACACGGCCCAGACUCCUACGGGAGGCAGCAGUAGGGAAUCUUCCGCAAUGGACGAAAGUCUGACGGAGCAACGCCGCGUGAGUGAUGAAGGUUUUCGGAUCGUAAAACUCUGUUGUUAGGGAAGAACAAGUACCGUUCGAAUAGGGCGGUACCUUGACGGUACCUAACCA
Molecule: ribosomal RNA, 499 nt
Filed under: Bacillus licheniformis
Lineage: Bacteria; Bacillati; Bacillota; Bacilli; Caryophanales; Bacillaceae
Description: bacterial SSU rRNA
Rfam family: Bacterial small subunit ribosomal RNA
Source: RNAcentral